GCUCGGCUAGCUCAGUCGGUAGAGCAUGAGACUCAAUCUCAGGGUCGUGGGUUCGAGCCCCAUAUUGGGCC
This 71-nucleotide transfer RNA is filed under the name Danio rerio (zebrafish). It matches the Rfam family "tRNA". From Rfam's summary of the family: Transfer RNA (tRNA) molecules are approximately 80 nucleotides in length. The record is from Rfam by way of RNAcentral. Lineage: Eukaryota; Metazoa; Chordata; Actinopteri; Cypriniformes; Danionidae.